AAGUUUCCAUCAUCUGUUUUCAUGGUGAACAAUGAAUGAUCUGAGGCUGACUGUUGAAAUCCAUAUCUCAGAAUAGCUAUAGAAAAUUUUUGCAUUCUACUGCCUUGAUGCCUGCUUCAAACCAUACAGAGAUUUAUGCAAUUUGCAAACCAGUCUUGAAUUUGCAGCGUGCUCCCCAUUGACAGAAUACCCUUAAGGUAAAUCCAUAUAUACCUCUUCUUCUAAAUCUCCAUUUAGAAAAGCAUUAUUUUUAUCCAGUUGAGACAGAUGCCAAUUACAUGUUGCUGCCAGUGCAAAGAAAAUUCUCACUGUUGUCUAUUUUGCUACAAGACUAAAUGUUUCCUAGUAAUCAAAUCCUGCUACCUAAUCAUAGCCUUUUGCAACUAGGCGUGCUUUGAAUCUUUCCACUUCACCAUUUGCAUUCAGUUUCACCUUAUAAACCCAUCUGCAGCUAAUGAUGUGACAAUUUGAAGGUAGAGGUACAAUAAUCCAUGUUUCAUUAUCCUUUAAAGCUUGCAAUUCAAGAGCCAUGGCUUCUCUCAAGUGAGAAUAAUUCACAGCCUGAUGAUAAGAAACAGGUUCCUGUAUAUGUGAUAGUGAGGUGGUAAAAGACUUGUGUGAGGGAGCAAGUUUUUGAGGUGAUAGGAAUUUGGCAAUUGGAUGGGAGGUAACAUGCUUGGUUGUUGGUGGCAAUUCUGUAUAGUAUGCUUCCAGAUACUUUGGUGCAUGUUUAACUUUUGUACUUUUUCAUGCAGGCACAAAGGUGUUUUCACUAGUAGUUUGUUCAGGUUGAUUUGUGCUGUCUACAGUGGGCAGACUACUUGAAGGUGAUGAAUCAGGUGAGACAUCAUUGGUAUUUGAAUUGGUAUGGUUUAAUUGAGGUGAUAUAGGUUCAGAUAGGUCAAAUUCAACUUGUUCGUGGUUUGGAAAUGGAAUUAUUGUAGGGUUAUGGUCAAAAUGAUAAAAAUAUGUGUCAUGCACAACAUGUGUUUGAUGAAAUGUAAAUGGCUGCUGAUCAUGCUCUUUAAUUCGAAAUGGAAAUGUUUGUUCAUGAAAAAUCACAUCUCUUGAUAUUAGGACUUUGUUAGCACUGAGAUCAUAAACCUUAUAGCCCUUUAUGUUAUUCGGAUAACCUAGGAAUAUGCAUUUAGUGGCCCUUUUAUCCAGUUUUUUCCUAUUUUGUGUCAAUGUAGACACAAAGCACAAACAUCCAAAUACUCUCAAAUGGUCAUAUGAAGGUAAUUUAUGAUGGAGGAGCUCAUAUGGUGUUUUAUUGUGAAGAAUUUUACUUGGCAACCUAUUGAUGAUGUGAAUUGCUGUUAAAACUACAUCUCCCAAAAAAUGUAUAGGCACAUUUGACUGAUGUAGUAAGCCUCUAGCAACUACUAAAAUGUGUUGAUGCUUCCUCUCAACAAUUCAAUUUUGUUGAUGAGCUUCAACACAUGACAGGUGGUGAUUUAUACCAGUACUUGCAAAGAAAUCAAUUAAUCCUAGUUCUCUUGCAUUAUCAGUUCUUAUACUUUUAAUGGCAGAGUUGAAUUGUUUUUGGGCAAAAGCAUUGAAAGUAGGAAUGAUUAUAGAAACUUCUGACUUAGCUUUCAUUAGGAAAAUCCAAGUAAACCUUGUAUGAUCAUUAAUCACAGUUAAAAAAUAACGUUGACCAAACAUAGUUAUACUUUCAUAAGGUCCCCAAAUAUCAACAUGCAUCAGUUCAAAAGGGAUUUUUGUGUUUUUAACAUGUACUGGAAAAGGUAACUUUCUUUACUUUGCCAAAGGGCAGAUUUCACAAAGUAAUUGAUUUGAACAUUUAACAUCUGCACAUUGUUGAUGUAUAACAUUCAAUCUUUCAAAAGGGGCAUGACCAAGUCUGAAAUGCCAUAAAUCAAAAACUUUAUGUCCUGUAUUACAAGCAUUAACUGACAAGUUGAAAGAUCUCUUUACAAGUUUAUCAAAGGAAUAAUUUGACAAUUCUUGCUCAUCUUUCUUAGGUUCCAUGAC
RNAcentral lists this long non-coding RNA (1998 nucleotides) under Theobroma cacao (cacao). RNAcentral describes it as "long non-coding RNA (TCAC_LNC002764)". Lineage: Eukaryota; Viridiplantae; Streptophyta; Magnoliopsida; Malvales; Malvaceae. The record is from RNAcentral.